This is a ribosomal RNA of 445 nucleotides. It matches the Rfam family "Eukaryotic small subunit ribosomal RNA", at positions 49 to 519 of the family's 1831-position model.
CCAUGCAUGUCGAGUUCAUAUAUAAAUAGAAACUGCGUACGGCUCAUUAGAGCAGAUUUAAAUGAUUCCGGGUAUCCUAUUGGAUAACUGUGGUAAUUCUGGAGCUAAUACAUGCAACAAUGCUCAGUUUCGGCUGAGUGCAGUUAUUAGUACGAACCAAUCGCUUUCGGGCGUAGUUUGUUGACUCUGAAUACCUAGUUUAUCGGCGGUUCAUCCGCUGAAGUCCGGAAUUUUGUGUCUGCCCUAUCAACUAGAUGAUAGUCUAUUGGCCUAUCAUGGUUGUAACGGGUAACGGAGAAUCAGGGUUCGACUCCGGAGAGGGAGCCUUAGAAACGGCUACCACAUCCAAGGAAGGCAGCAGGCGCGUAACUUAUCCACUACUCUUUGUGAGAUAGUGACUGAACAUAAAAAGACUCAUCUUUCUAGAUGGGUUAUUUCAAUGAGU